AUACGUAGGUGGCAAGCGUUGUCCGGAAUUAUUGGGCGUAAAGCGCGCGCAGGUGGUUCCUUAAGUCUGAUGUGAAAGCCCCCGGCUCAACCGGGGAGGGUCAUUGGAAACUGGGGAACUUGAGUGCAGAAGAGGAUAGUGGAAUUCCAAGUGUAGCGGUGAAAUGCGUAGAGAUUUGGAGGAACACCAGUGGCGAAGGCGACUGUCUGGUCUGUAACUGACGCUGAGGCGCGAAAGCGUGGGGAGCAAACAGGAUUAGAUACCCUGGUAGUCCACGCCGUAAACGAUGAGUGCUAAGUGUUGGGGGGUUUCCGCCCCUCAGUGCUGCAGCUAACGCAUUAAGCACUCCGCCUGGGGAGUACGGUCGCAAGACUGAAACUCAAAGGAAUUGACGGGG
RNAcentral lists this ribosomal RNA (397 nucleotides) under uncultured bacterium. RNAcentral describes it as "partial 16S ribosomal RNA". It matches the Rfam family "Bacterial small subunit ribosomal RNA", at positions 523 to 918 of the family's 1533-position model. The record is from RNAcentral.